GCCAAAUCGAGUGAUUCAAAGUUCCGCGGAUAGGUAUUGAAAAGAUCUACAACUUGCUGUUGGUUUCACCCUCAAAUUCGUUACAUAUUUGCCUCGAUCAAGAUCUGGUCAGAUCUGACUUGGUCGAAUUAAAUCAGGAGCUUGGGAACGAAUUUUUGAAUGAAACAAACUGGGGGAUACUUAGUUGUGCCAUGGUGAUACCGAGAGAGGCAAUUGCUAAGUUAUGAUACUCUCAUACCUUUACUAGAUGCGAACGAUUCCGGAGAAGAAGAAGAAGUGGUUCGGACAAGGAUUUUAUUUAUAUUGACGGGAUUCUUAUAUUGAUGAAGUUGAAGAAGUCCAGGGACAAAUAAGCCAAGGCAAGCCAUCUUUUGAUCUCUGAUAUGAUGUCUCUUUGGAUGUCAUCUUGUGCUAUCAAUAGCAUCUUGGUUCUAUGUGUGAUGAUCUCCAUAUUGUUGUCAUCUAUGCUUGGAUGCAAGCAUGGUACCUCUAGUAGUUUUAUCUUGUCAAGGUCUUGGUAAUUGGUUGGGUGUAUGGUAUCAUGGCCAUUGCUAUCCAACUUGCUUUCUAUAUUUAGCUUGAAUAUGUUCCACCUCGGGACAAGAUUCAUACUACACCCCCUUCUAGUGUAGAUGUAUCAAUACCAUGUUUUUGGUGUAUUCUCAAAUUGUGAUGAGUAUGCCUGUUUUCCCUUAAUGGUGUUGGUGUUGGUCAAUUCUCAUCCCUAUCUAUCUAUUGAUUGGGUUAGAUAGCACCACAAAUCUGAAAGUAUAUUUCCUCUUGUGUUGUCAUAAUACAUGCUUAGCUCAAGCAAGUAUGAUCCACUCCAAUACCUCUUUUUCAUACCCUCAAUGGCGUGAUGACCCUCAUCUCGGCCAUAGUGUUGUAUUAGUUCAACUCAUGAAACUUUAGAUUGGGAACCCCUCAAGGUUUACCUUGUUGUAAAUGUUUAUGAAAACCUUGGGUGAGGCAAUCUUACCCAAGCGUAUGGUUUAUGAAAGGAAAGGAUCUUGACAAAGAUGGUUGGAAAGAGGAAGGUGUGUGUGACUUGGGUUUUUGAGAAAAACGACACAUGGUUCUUUGUAUUCGCCCGGAACAACUAAACAGCGCAACCAUAGCUACUCCAACGUGGGCACGGGGCUUAACUUGACGUUUGUUCUUCUUAGCAUGAGGCACCGCACAACUAUACAAGGGUACGAUUACCCCCG
This is a long non-coding RNA of Lolium perenne, 1208 nucleotides long. RefSeq lists it as uncharacterized. The record is from RefSeq and is a predicted model, not a curated record. NCBI's taxonomy places the organism in Eukaryota, Viridiplantae, Streptophyta, Magnoliopsida, Poales, Poaceae.